AGCGGAUAUGGCUCAAUAGGUAGAGCGAUAGACUGUGGAUCUAUAGGUUAUGGGUUCGAACCCCAUUAUCCGCC
This 74-nucleotide transfer RNA is filed under the name Pharyngomonas kirbyi. RNAcentral describes it as "tRNA-His". It matches the Rfam family "tRNA". Rfam says of the family: Transfer RNA (tRNA) molecules are approximately 80 nucleotides in length. Their secondary structure includes four short double-helical elements and three loops (D, anti-codon, and T loops). The record is from RNAcentral. Lineage: Eukaryota; Heterolobosea; Pharyngomonadea; Pharyngomonadida; Pharyngomonadidae.